UCGACUGGUUUGCGCUAUCUCUUUCUAGCACAUUGUACCGAGAAACUAAGAUGACAUUAAGGUGUGAAUAUAGGCACGGAAGAGGAGGACAACUGUCGUAGCUUAAUAUGCGUAAGAGUGAAACAGCACUAAUCCAAAGAAAAAAGAUGGCGUCGUCACUUCGCUUUGAAUGACACUCUCUCUAUGUCAAUUUACCUCUAUGGACGUUUGCUGUGAUUGGCAGUCAUCGUCAUCGGAUUGCAUGAUUUGAGUUUCCACUAGACUUGUGUUAUGGACGGAUUUUACGGGCUGUGAUUGGUCGUAUUCAAAUCAAUGACAUUUGAUGACAUUUAAAAGAAAUACGUAAUCCUGUUUUCUCGUUUGUUUUUGUUUAUGCAGUGUGUUUAUGUUAUACAAAAGAAAAAUAUUGAUAUUUUAGUUAUUAAUCUUGGAUUUUGAGACUAUUUUAUACGUUUAUACUUGUUUAUUGUAUUCAUUUUUAAACAGCCAUAUUAUUUCCAGCAAAAGUUAUGGAACGUUUACAGAUACAUAGUAAUAUUUAUAAAAAAAAAAACAAAUUACUUUCUGCUUGCUUCCUAUAUUUUGUAAAUUUUUAAAGCUUCCUCCCAGACUCAUUUGAGUAUAAGGUGGUUCAUUUUUCCGAAAUAAAUGGAAAGGAUGGCGCAUUUAAUGCAGUGAUUUGAGCUAAUAUAACAACACAAGAAGAUGCUCAAAAUUGUCAAAAAGAAUAUGAAAAUAUUAAUAAAGUAAAUUUUAGAGUUCUAAGAACUUAUCCAAAUGAUUCUAUGAAGCUUGUUUUCAAGAAAGACUAUCGAUGCCAUCGCAAUACUCAGGCUAAUUUGCCUUCAUCAAAGACAAAAAAUCCGUCAUCUAAACAUGUUAACUGUCAGGCAUUCUUAAUAAUUACAGUGAAACCAUCAAGUAUGAAAAGGUAAAGUCUAUUUGCUAAUCUGAGACACAACUACUGUCUAGUGACGUUGGUAAUUUUUUUUGAGAAGUUAGGUUGCUAGAUGUAACUGGAAAAGACUACACAACCAAACAUAACUAAGUACUCAUAGCCAAUAUUAUUAUUAACAGUAAACAGGCAUAAAUAACAUAACAUACACCAUACACCAAUCAAUAAUUAUUUAUUUAAACCUUUAUAAUGUAUUGAUAACAGAUGAGAAAAGUAUUUAUUGUACAAAAUAAAAAUAUUUUAUAGAAAUAAAUUCCACAAAAUUUUA
Molecule: long non-coding RNA, 1223 nt
Filed under: Diabrotica virgifera virgifera (western corn rootworm)
Lineage: Eukaryota; Metazoa; Arthropoda; Insecta; Coleoptera; Chrysomelidae
Description: uncharacterized LOC126893293
Source: RNAcentral